ACUCCUACGGGAGGCAGCAGUAGGGAAUAUUGGACAAUGGGCGAAAGCCUGAUCCAGCAAUGCCGCGUGAGUGAUGAAGGUUUAUGGAUCGUAAAGCUCUGUCGUAUAGGAAUAAAUGCCUGUGGUUAAUACCCGCAGGAGCUGAAGGUACUAUACAAGAAAGCACCGGCUAACUACGUGCCAGCAGCCGCGGUAAUACGUAGGGUGCUAGCGUUGUUCGGAAUUACUGGGCGUAAAGCGUAUGUAGGCGGCCAUUUAAGUCAGAUGUGAAAGCCCCGGGCUCAACCUGGGACGUGCAUCUGAUACUAUUUGGCUUGAGUACAGGAGAGGGUAGUGGAAUUUCAGGUGUAGUGGUGAAAUACGUAGAUAUCUGAAGGAACAUCGGUGGCGAAGGCGGCUGCCUGGCCUUGUACUGACGCUGAGAUACGAAAGCGUGGGGAGCAAACAGGAUUAGAUACCCUGGUAGGAUAGCGU
Molecule: ribosomal RNA, 474 nt
Filed under: uncultured bacterium
Lineage: Bacteria
Description: bacterial SSU rRNA
Rfam family: Bacterial small subunit ribosomal RNA
Source: RNAcentral